AUGCGCACGGGUCUGAAACUUGCUUUUUUUCUCAUUUUCUGCUCUACCCGUGAGGACCUUCCAUGUCACUACUGCGGAACUUGCUCACUGUUCCAUCAGUACAUAGCUCGCCGUUGUGUGGACCUGCUGGGGUGGAUUCAACUAGCUGGCUGUCAAUGUUCAGACUGUUUUUGUAGGGUUCUUAGGAGGAUCUCUGCCUGUGGCUCUGUAUUUCUCUGCAAGUUCUGCCCUCAGGCUGAAGCAAGGAGACGUGAGUGUGGAUGGAGGAUACAGUCGUCGCUGUACCAAAGGGCUUGAGUCUCACUAAUACACAGAGUUGGCGUCUUAGGCUCCAAGCUGGAUCCCUGUUUUAAAGACGCAGUCCUUUGUCGCCAUCUCGAGGAAGAGUUCUAAAAAUCUCCUUUAUCUUGGGCUGUCCAUCUUUAGCAGCUGCAUGAUUCGACCACAGAUUAUUAUCGAUUAUGUACAAAGAGAUAAAAGCAGAAUUCAAAAACAAAUUUUGUAGUGCACUUCGUGGCAUCCUAGUAUUUCAAGAGGAUCUAAAAACUACACUCUAUCGUUUACAGAAAGAUGACUGUUAUAAAAAGUUAAUUCUAACCUUUUUAAGGAAAAUGUGUGAUAUUCAUUGAGUUCUAAUGUAUUGGACAUUUUUUUUUUCAUAAAAUACACCUGUAAGCACAGUCUUUGAUUUCUAGAGGUGUUCAAGGAGGAGAAGAUAAACUGCGUCUCUUUCCAGGGUUAUUUCUGUUGGCAUGGAGCCCCCUCUGUUCCUUUAGAACACGCUUCGCUCCUUGCUGGCAGGCUCACUCUACCCCUAGCAACCAGCAAGGUUUCUGGCCUGUCACAGGCACUCAGUAAGCACUUGUCAAGGGAAUGUUUUCCUUCUUGUGUUCCUAAUCAACCUUUGCUGUAUAAUUGUGCUGAUAACCUGGAAUACACCAAAAAUCUUGGUCAGGCCCAGACUGCUUGUUUUAUCAAUGAAUGAAAUGUGAUUUCUCCAAGGGAAGUCAGCCCCCAGGAUUAAAAAAGUAAAUGCCCCUUGAUUUUCACAGGGCCUAAAAUUCCAUUAUGAGCACCCCCCUUUUUGAGUGUUACCCUUUAAGAAUAUCUUAUUAAAAUGUUCACACUUCAUAGGAAAAUUAACAUCUUGAGUACUAUUACCUCUAAUUUUGUCUGGGUCAAGGGCAGCCUUAACCCUUGGGUACUACAGGAAACUGUGAAAGGCAUGGGAGGUAUGGGAAGAAAAUAUUAGAAUACCUAUUUAUGGCAUCUUUAAAAUGUCUUUGUUUUGCAUGCUUCCUAAGGUAUA
Molecule: long non-coding RNA, 1309 nt
Filed under: Ursus maritimus (polar bear)
Lineage: Eukaryota; Metazoa; Chordata; Mammalia; Carnivora; Ursidae
Description: lncRNA (ENSUMAG00000016760.1)
Source: RNAcentral